Molecule: non-coding RNA, 705 nt
Organism: Sesamum indicum (sesame)
Lineage: Eukaryota; Viridiplantae; Streptophyta; Magnoliopsida; Lamiales; Pedaliaceae
Source: RefSeq, a predicted model, not a curated record
GAGAGAGAAAUAGAAAAUUGAGAAGAUAGAGCGUAAAUUAAGGAGAGAAAUAGGAAGUUGAUAAGAUAGAAAACUAUUAAUGAGUGAUUGAUAAGAUAGGUAGUUACAGUGUUCUUCAAUAAUAUGAACUUUAAUGAGUGGGAAUAUAUUGCAUGUAUAUGUAGAAAACUAUAUAUCAUUCUUCAAAUAGUCAAAAGUAGAUGUCAAAUUCAAAACUACUACGCGAGCCUUCCAAUUCAACUCAGGCUCUAAAGAACACCCAAUGGCGUGCUGCCAUGGUUGAGGAAUUCACUGCUCCUGUGCGCAACAAUACAAAAAGCUUGUACCUGCUCUGUUGUACCCAAUUAGAAUGUUGUCGGCUGCAAGUAGGCUUUCAGGAUGAAACGACAUUCUGCUGGCUCCAUUGAUAGGUGGAGGUGGAAUUGAUCCCACUUGGCUUAAUGGAAUUGAUUCCAAAGGCUAUCUAGAGUCGAGUCGCCCCCUAAAGGAUAUCGCAUAGCAAGCCUCCCGUGCAUUUGAAGGCGGAAAUCCUCUUUCUGAGGGAAUGAUUUUAGCACAGGGGUGUAGCAGUCAGACAGAAGAGCGCAUGCCCCUAAGAGAAGUCUGUUUUGAUUAUUUUUCUGUCUAUUGAAAAUGAAAGUUUUAUUUAAGAGUCAUAUAUUGCAAAAUAUUUUUUAUUUAAUUUAAAUAAUAUACAUAUCUAUA